UGGGGAAUAUUGGACAAUGGGCGAAAGCCUGAUCCAGCCAUGCCGCGUGUGUGAAGAAGGUCUUCGGAUUGUAAAGCACUUUAAGUUGGGAGGAAGGGCAGUAAGCGAAUACCUUGCUGUUUUGACGUUACCGCCAGAAUAAGCACCGGCUAACUCUGUGCCAGCAGCCGCGGUAAUACAGAGGGUGCAAGCGUUAAUCGGAAUUACUGGGCGUAAAGCGCGCGUAGGUGGUUCGUUAAGUUGAAUGUGAAAGCCCCGGGCUCAACCUGGGAACUGCAUCCAAAACUGGCGAGCUAGAGUAGGGCAGAGGGUGGUGGAAUUUCCUGUGUAGCGGUGAAAUGCGUAGAUAUAGGAAGGAACACCAGUGGCGAAGGCGACCACCUGGGCUCAUACUGACGCUGAGGUGCGAAAGCGUGGGGAGCAAACAGG
This 429-nucleotide ribosomal RNA is filed under the name Pseudomonadota bacterium. RNAcentral's name for it is "Proteobacteria bacterium partial 16S ribosomal RNA". It matches the Rfam family "Bacterial small subunit ribosomal RNA", at positions 355 to 776 of the family's 1533-position model. Lineage: Bacteria; Pseudomonadati; Pseudomonadota. The record is from RNAcentral.